CAACGGUGCUCCUGUUAGAGUGGCACACAUAGGGCAGCUUGAUUGCUCUACGUGUGAAAUUGACAUCAAGAGAUUUUGGAAGCAUAAUAUUUUGGUAUCUGGGUGGCUGGUAAUUGUUGGUCCUGGAAACCUG
Molecule: small nuclear RNA, 133 nt
Organism: Myotis lucifugus (little brown bat)
Lineage: Eukaryota; Metazoa; Chordata; Mammalia; Chiroptera; Vespertilionidae
Product: U11 spliceosomal RNA
Source: Ensembl